GCUGUGCCCAGGGCUGUGAAGCGCUCGGCUGCCCGAACGGUCGUCCCUAGAAGAUUCUUUCGCCAGCCCUCAACGCAGUGAGAACGGGAGGAGAGAACUUCAACUGCGCAAAAGAGGGGAGCCGCUCCAGGGGUUUCCAUAGUAACCGUGGCGGCCCCGGUGCAUUUCGCUUCCCUCAGGGGCCAGAGAGCAGCGGAUCUCAGCGCGCAGCUGACGCAGGUCUGCGAAGGAAGGGAACCCGAGCCCCAGGGUGACCUGACUCACCGCGUCCCUUGACGGGUACCUUUUCUCUUCAACACCGCCCUGGCACACUGUCCGUUUGCCUCUUCUCUUUGCUUGAUCUCACACAGGCAAGGUGGCAUCGGGUCCGGACAAGGGCUGGUGUGGAAGAGGAAGGCUGGUGCAGGAGUCUUCGUCUGCUGGCAUCUGUCCCUGGAGCCUGUUCUAGGGGAGCAGCAGGACCUGUGGUGACAGACGCUGGCUCUGGGCCCUUGGGGGCGUCCCUCUCCUAAUUAGGGCCUCGCUUCUCUUGUGUGUGUGUUUUCAUGUAUGUACGUAUUUUUCUUUCCACAUUUUAACUUAGUGCAUAUGAAUUAGGCAGACUGAUGGGUUUCACGCGGCAGAUGUGUACUCUCACAUACCAUACUGUAAACAUCCUCCCAGCCUUCCCUUGUCCCUUCUAGUUUGUGUGUGUUUUUUGUUUUUGUUUUUAUAAACAAUAGCACAAAUCUGCUGUUAUAGCAUCAGAAACUCAGGGCUUUGUAAAUUCAAGUACAGGCUUUCCCUCCUCUUUGUUUUGGUUUUAAAUCUGUUAUUAAUUUUGCAUUGUGGAGUAAGAAUCUUUCUGAAAAUUUCUGCGUCUCUGCUGGCCUACUUGAGAUAGAGAAGAGGAGAAAGAGGAGAAUUUACUCUGCACACAGGUCGGCUGGAGAGAAAUUCCAGAGGGUGGUGCCAUUUUUUUUUUUAAACCUUCUGAGUCACUGAAACGUUUUGUACUUGGUUGAUCUAAGGGGCGAUUCUCUCAUAAUAUCCGCAUCUAUUUUCUCGCCCUCUGGAAGGGGCUCUGAAGCCGACAGCCACUUCCUACAGUAUUAAACUUCAGCUGUGACAAGUCAAGGUUUCCAGAGUUGUUCCUGGCACCUGAGGACAUCUGUCAUUGCGAAGAAACAGCAAUCUCUCCCGGCAAUGUGGAGCAGUUACACCGGAACUGCUUUCCUCUGAGCGGAGACUCGGCAGCGAUCCUCCUGCCUCAGCCUCCUGAACGUUGGGAUCACAGGCUUUCACCACCAUAUGCCUGGCCAAGACCGCUUUUGCAAGCAUCUUCUUUGAUGACCAUGGAGUUGCCUGCAAAUAUACCUGGCUGGUGGAUGUUUGGUUGCAUUGGUUUUCUCCAUGGUGAAUGAUGCUGCAGCCAUGUGAGCUGAACGCUUGUCUUUCUGGAUUUCGGAUCAUUUCUCUGCCAAUGUCACUGCCCGUGUUUUGAGGAGCCAUCUCAGUGUGAGAAUGAUCAUCACAUUGUGCUCUUCCCAGAGCUAAGGACUGUGAAAUUUUAAAUUGUUUUUUUACUUCAUCGGAUGGUGUUAUCCUCAUAUGGGGGACCC
Molecule: long non-coding RNA, 1601 nt
Organism: Fukomys damarensis (Damara mole-rat)
Lineage: Eukaryota; Metazoa; Chordata; Mammalia; Rodentia; Bathyergidae
Exons: 4
Source: RefSeq, a predicted model, not a curated record